RNAcentral lists this ribosomal RNA (1764 nucleotides) under Durio zibethinus. RNAcentral's name for it is "SSU rRNA". It matches the Rfam family "Eukaryotic small subunit ribosomal RNA". Lineage: Eukaryota; Viridiplantae; Streptophyta; Magnoliopsida; Malvales; Malvaceae. The record is from RNAcentral.
CCUGGUCGAUCUUGCUAGUAGUCAUAUGCUUGUCUCAAAGAUUAAGCCAUGCAUGUCUAAGUAUGAACUAAUUUAGACUAUGAAACUACGAAUGGCUCAUUCAAUCAGUUAUAGUUUGAUUGAUUGUAUCUAUUACUCGAAUAACCAUAGUAAUUCUAGAGUUAAUACGUGCAACAAAUCUUAACUUCCAGAAUGGAUGCAUUUAUUAGAUAAAAGGUUAAUACGGGGCUUUGCCCAUUGCUCUGAUGAUUCAUGAUAACUUGACAAAUCAUACGGCCUUUGAGCUGGCGAUGCAUCAUUCAAAUUUCUACCCUAUCAACUUUCAAUGGUAGGAUAGUGGCCUACUAUGGUGGUGACAAGUGAUGGAUAAUUAAGGUUUAAUUCUCAAAAUAGAGCUUGAGAAAUGGCUACCUUACCCAAGGAAAGCAACAGGCAUGCAAAUUACCCAAUCUUGACAUAGGGAGGUAGUGACAAUAAAUAACAAUACCAAGCUCUAUGAGUGUGGUAAUUAAAAUGAGUACAAUUUAAAUCCCUUAACAAGGAUCCAUUAGAGGGCAAGUCUAGUGCCAACAGUCAUGGUAAUUCUAGCUCUAAUAGCAUAUAUUUAAGUUAUUUCAAUUAAAAAGCUCAUAGAUGGCACUAGGGUUGGUUGUCUGGUUUGCCUUACAAUGAGCACUGGUCUACUUGUCCCUACUACUGAUAAUGUGCUAUUGGCCUUAAUUGGUUGGGUUGUUCCUCUAGUGAUGUUACUUUGAAGAAAUUAGAAUGCUUAAAGUAGUCCUACACUUGUAUACACUAGCAUGGGAUAAUAUCAGAGAUUUUGGUCCUAUUGUGUUAGCCUUCAGGAUUGGAGUAAUGAUUAACAGGGAUAGUCAAAGGCAUUCAUAUUUCAUAAUCAGAGGUGAAAUUCUUAGAUUAUUAAAAGAUAAACAACUACAAAAGCAAUUGCCAAGGAUGUUUUCAUUAAUCAAGAAUAAAAGUUGAGGCCUAGAAGAUGAUCAAAUACCAUCCUAGUCUUAAUUAUAAAUGAUGUCGACUAAGGGUCAAUGGAUGUUACCUUUAAGACUCUGCUAACACCUUAUGAGAAAUCAAAGUCUUUAGGUUUUGAAGGGAGUAUGGUCACAAGGCCGAAACUUAAAGGAAUUAGUGGAACAGCACCACCAAGAGUAGAGCUUAUGGCUUAAUUUGACUUAACAAAGGAAAGCUUACCAGGUCCAAACAUAGUAAGGAUUGACAGACUGAGUGCUCUUUCUUGAUUCUAUGGAUGGUGGUGUAUAGCUACUCUUAGUUAGUGGAGCGAUUUGUCUAGUUAAUUCUAGUAAUGAAUGAGACCUCGGCCCACUAACGAGUUACACUAAGGUGAUCUUUCAUGGCUAGCUUUUAAAGGUAUUAUGGCCGCUUAGGCCAAGGAAGUUUGAGGCAAUAAUAGGUUUGUGAUGCCCUUAGUCAUUUAGGUUACAUGUACACUACAUUGAUCUAUUCAACGAGUUUAUAACCUUGGUCGAUAGGCCCGAGUAAUCUUUAAAAUUUCAUCAUAAUAGGGAUAGAUCUUUGUAAUUGUUGGUCUUUAAUAAGGAAUUCUUAAUAAGCAUGAGUCAUCAACUAGCAUUGACUGUAUCCCUACCUUUUGUACAUACUGCCCGUCACUCCUACCGAUUGAAUGGUCUAGUGAAUUGUUCAAAUUAUGGUGAAAUGCACGAUUUGCUGCCCAUGACAUCAUAAGAAGUCCACUGAACCUUAUCAUUUAAAAGAAGGAAAAGUCAU